ACAGCACAGGAGUGACAGCGUGGUUGCACAGCAGAACGCAGUGCCAUGCUGCUCCUCACAGCUCCAGCUUCCCUGCUCCUGGCACUGCCUCAGAAUACAGCUUCAUCAAGAGAUGCCAAUGAUGUGAGAACAUGGAGCUGCAAUGGGUGCAAUGCUGCGGGGCUGCACUGUGACUCCACCGUCGUCCCUACCCUCCAUCACCACAGCAACCUCCUUUGCCUGCCAACAUCUGGCUAAAAGGUGAGUUAAAGGCUGACAAACAGGAGACCAGGAACCAGAAGACUAUGUAUUGUGGUUCCCAACUGAGUUUGGUCACGGCAUUGGAAAUGUCCAUACAGCAUAUCCAACUCCAACCUGAAAAGCCGGAUAAAGUAGAUCCCAUCUUCCUCCAAAACUUCAAAUGAGAAACAAAUAAAGUUUUUGCAACCCUUUGCA
Molecule: long non-coding RNA, 435 nt
Filed under: Phasianus colchicus (ring-necked pheasant)
Lineage: Eukaryota; Metazoa; Chordata; Aves; Galliformes; Phasianidae
Description: lncRNA (ENSPCLG00000006374.1)
Source: RNAcentral